CGGCUUCGGUAUUGUCGGUAAUUCAGGCUUUGGCAGUUCCGGAAGUGGCGGCAACUCAACUUUCGGCAGUGAUGGCAAUUCUGGCUUUGGCAAGCUCGGUAUGUCAGGAAGGUGCGGCAAUUCGGGCUUCGGCAGUCCGGGCACCUCGGGCAACGUCGCCUCCAAAAUUCGGCUAGCGCCAACCGAGUUCUUGCCGAUCAUCAAGGACAGAGCAAAGACAAACAAUGCCAAAAGAUGUGCAAGUCCACGAUCAUUCGCCAUCGCAGGACCGAUCGACUAGCAAAUUUAAAAACUUCGAGUGAAGAAGCGACGGAUCUCAAGUGAGGAGGUGCAGGUGUGCUUGAGCAAUGGCUUGAUGGAGGGUUUAUAAAGAGGAGGGACGUGGGGAUUGGGGAGAUUACAAGUAUGGUUUGGUGGGAUUUUGUCGAAGUGUUAGUUCGACUUCUAGACCAAUCUCAUUUCCGUUUGUUCAACAACAAGAUGGAGCAGAUGAUUCCAGAAAGGACCUUGCCAAUUAUUGGCUUUCAACGCUUGUAAACCAUCAGUCGUGCUGGUAUUAUAUAGCUUUUGUUUUGGUUUUCCUAUAAAUAGUUAAUUGGUAACCGUACUUCUAUCAUGAACUACGAUCAUUGUAAAUGAUAUCCUAAAAAUGACCAUCCCGACACACGCAAGCUGAUUUACAUAUGAAAUGAAAAAACUGAGACUAGGUAAAACUAUCUAGAACUAACGUCUUGAAAUAUCUUUUCCGCAAUCCAUCUCAUGUGAUGGAAUGAUAGCCAAGCUUGCAAGGUUUUUCAAUUAUUUGAUAAAUUUUAUACUAUGUUCUUUGACUAGUAGUACACGUGAUUGAUGAACGAAUUAAAGAUCAACAAAUAUUUGAUAACCAACGCAAUACAACCAGAGAAGUCUCAAAACAUAUCUCAAAUCUGAUAUAAUCGUAUGCUUUUAUGGAGCAGAAUAUAAAGUAUAUAUGUAUCUAUUGCGGACCGGUUUGAAAUUGGUCUACUAUCUUAUAAUGACAUUCGAAAAUUAAAUGAAAAACUUCUUUUCUUACCGAAAUUGAAUCUUGAGAAUUUUUCAAGGAAAGUAAAAAUAUAAAGAAAAAAACUCAAAAAGUUCUUUACCGGAAUACAUAUGUGAAAAGUAAGUCCAUUCAAUUUAACGAGAAAGAUUCUUUUCUUUUUCCAAAUAGAUUGAUAAGAUUUUUUGCGGAAAGUAACAAUUUAAAGGAAAGUAUCUUAAGUCUCAAUCUAAAUAUAUUUAGGUGAUAUUGUGUAGUAUUAUGUUUAGACAGAAGUCUUUUUAUUUUUUUCAAGGAAAUUUUGAGAGAGAAGAAUAUUAAAGAUUAACAUAUAUAUCAAAUAUUAUUUAAUGUAAUAAUGAAUGAGAAAAUGUCUAUGAUUAUUAAUUUAAGUAAAAUUGACUAUAUGAGCACGAUAAAUGAUGUGAUAUAUAAAAAAAAGUGUAAAUAUAUCUAUAUUUGAGAGAGAGAGAGAGAGGGAGGGAGAUUAACUUUUCACCCGAAUUAGAAGUUUGAGCUAAAUAGAUUGACAUUAUGCAAAAAAAUAUAUCAAGAAUAGAAAAAAAAAUGAUCUAUAAUGGCUAAGUUGUCUAUACAAUACAAUGUAUGCCAUGUUAUAGAAAACAUCGAUAAUAUUUAACGCAUAUCGAUACUAUAACAUAGAUCUUAAAAUUACUUCGGUUCAAUUCAAUACAAAAUGAAAUAAAAACAACUAUUAGAGUUAAUUUUACUUAAUUGAAGAAUGAUGAUUGCUUGAAACAUAAAAAAAUAGUUGUGUCAAAUUAAAAGGGAAAAUACUCUAUUAUAAAUUCAAGUUUAGUAAAUAAGAUGUUCAAUAAGUGGAUUUAUAAUUUAUAUGUAAGAUAAAUGAACCUAUAUCACUCGAUCAUAUAACAAACAUGUAAUUUUGCUGAUUUUUUUCUUCAAAUAUUUAAAUUCUAUGAUAAGUUAAAUGUGUAUAAAGUAGAUAAUGAGUUUUAGUAAACAUAAAUUUGAUAUAUUUUGAAAUAUAAAACACAUGAAGCAUAAGAAAGUGUACUAGUUUUUUAAGAAAGAGUAACUAUAGCAUACUCUGUCGACGUAAAAGAAGAGUUACACAAGAUAUCAUAAACUAUCAUACAAAUAAGUUCCAUAAUUCAUAUCACAAACUGUCAUACAAAUGACUAUAUAUAGCAUAUAACAUUCUGAGGUGAACACUGACCAUUACAAUAGAAGUAAUAGAAUACAAAUUCAUAUCAUAUUGAAUCCCGACUACAAGUUCACAUCACAACAGUUCAAGGACUAGUAGCAGCGACAGACAUGUCCUUCGGAACAGAAGGAAAUGUUGGCUUAGGGAAAUCGGGAAGGUGAGGCAAUUCAGGCACUUCUUGCAAUUCUGGCUUUGGUAAAGUUGGAAAUUCAAGCUUUGGAAGUUCAAGCACUUUUGGCAAUUCUGGCUUCGGUAUUGUUGGAAAUUCAGGCUUUGGUAGUUCGAGAAGUGGUGGCAAUUCGACUUUUGGCAGCGAUGGCAAUUCUGGUUUUGGCAGGCUUGGGAUGUCGGGAAGCUAAGGGCCUGUUUGGCAACGUGCCAAACAGUGCUAGAUUCUGAUUUUUUGUUCCCAUAAUCAGUUUGGGACGAGAAUCGCGUUUGGUAAAUUUUUUGUUCCCGGGAACAAUUUUGGACAAGAUUUGAGAAUUAAAAAAAAUUUGAUUCUCCGUCCGAGAAUCAGAAAAAGAAUCAAAACGGUGAAACCCUCGCUCUUCCCUUUCAUCAUCCUGGUUGCCGUCCAUCACCGCCCGCCACCGUCCGCCAUUACCCGCUGCCGCCGUCCGCCGCCGGUCGCCAGAGGCUCGCCAGGCCAGGGCGAGGUCCGGCGAGCUCGCCGGAGGCAAGCCUAGCCACCGGCGAGGUCGGCCUGGCCACCGGCGGGGCUGGGCGAGUCUUGCCGGCAGCUGGGCGAGGCUCGGCCUCGCUAGAUCUAGCAAGGCCGAGCCUUGGUGGGGCUGGGCGAGCCUCGCCUAGCUGCUAGCGAGGCUCGACCGACAAAGGCCAACCUUGCCGAGGGUCGGCGACCAGCCAUAUGAAGAAGAAGAAGAAGAAUAGGAAAAAAGGGGAAAAAAAAAAGGAAAAAAGUAAAAAGUAAAAAAAAUUAUUUGGAACAUAAUCAAUUAACACGGUAUUAAACGCAAUUCUAUUCCAGAAUAAAAAAAUUUGGACAGUUACCAAACGCGCUUUUUUACUCAGAAUCAGUUCCCGGGAACAGAAUAAAAAAUAAUCAUUUCUAGUCAGAAUCAGCUCCUGAGAACAGAAUCGUUACCAAACGCGCCCUAAGGCAAUUCUGGCUUCGAUAGUUCAAGCACUUCAGGCAAUGUCGUGUCCAAAAGUUGGCAACUCCAACGUGGUUCUGGCCGAUUGUCAAAGACAAAGCAAGGUUAGUGAGUCCGCAAUAGUUCGCCAUCGUGGAAUUGAGCGACUAGCAAACCAAUAAACCUUGAGUGAAGAAGCGGUGUGUUUGAGCAAUGGCUUGAUGGAGGGUUUUUAAAGAGGAGGGAUCUAAGUAGCACCGACAUAUGACACGGACACGCGACACGACACGACAUGACACGUUGACACGGCAUUUAUAAAAAAUAGAGAAUUUCAACACGUUGUGACAUGUUAUAUACUAAAUGAAUAUUUUUUAUUUUUAAUUAAUUUAAUUCAAAUUCAUAAAUAAAUAAUUAAUUAAAAAAAGAGUCUAUAAUGAAUUUACACUAAUAAUAUUAAUAAAUCAAUUCAUUAGAAAUUCGAAAGAUAUAAUCAUAGUUAAUGCGAAACAUGUUUUUGACUAUAACAAAAGUUAUUGAUGAAAUUAAUGACUAAUAAGAAAUUAGAAUCAAUUUAUUUAUAUAAAUCCACGAUUUUUUUACAAUGACCAAAAUUUAUCAUUAUUCAAAAUUCAAUACUUUUAUUUUUCGAAAUUAUUUUUUAAUCUCAUUUAUUUAAUUUUCCAAUUAAAAACAAAAAUCCCCAGAGGUCCACCCCUUCUUUCCCUCGUCCAUUUCCCUCGACCCGAAAUUUAUUUACUGUCGGGCACUCCACCACUCCUGCAAAACCACCUGGCAAAGAGGCUGUCACUUCCCUCCCCCCAAACUCAAAAAUCACGCCAUCAAUCCCCCCCCCCUCUAGCCACCCUCCUUUUCCUUCUCCUUCUCGCCGCUGGCCGCAUGACCCCCUCCCCUUCCUCUCCUCUUCCUCUCGAUCCUUCUCCUCCUCCUCUUUGCCGCACGACCACCUGCCUCUCUGCACGACCCCCUUCCUCUCCUCCUCCUCCUCCUCCUCCUCCUCGUUGCCGAUCCAUUGCAACAGUGGCGGCCCUCACUUCAGUUUUUGCUCUCUCUGACCGUCUCUUGCUGUUGCGGUGGUCCGUUGUGUGGCUUUGUCUCACUAGCAGGAGUUUGCUUUCUCUGUCUUCUUUCCCUCCAUCGUCUUCUGGACACACGUGUCGAAAUGUGUCGAGAAACGUUGACCACGUGUCCGACCGUGACACGCUCCGACACGUGUCGGACAUGACACGGAAGCAUGGGCAACGUGUCCAUGCCUCAUAGGGAGGGACAUGGGGAUUGGGGAUUGGGGACAUUACAAGUAUGUUUUGGUGGGAAAAAUAAUCUAAUUGUUGGUUCAACUUCUAAACCAAUCUCAUUUUCUUUUGUUCAACACAAGAUGGAGAAGACUCCAAAAAGGUAUCUUGCCACUUCUGGGCUUUCUAAGCCUGUAACUAUCAGCUGUGCAAGAUUUCUCAGCUACGCCGGAAAAAGAAACGAAAGGAGAUGGUUUAUGAUAUCACUCUAUGUACUAGGACGUAGUCCGGAGUUUUGGUUGAAGAAGUCAAUAAUUUAAGGAUAAAAAUCUAAGUUUUGUCAGCGAUCAUUGUACACGAAAUGUAUGCUUAUCUUAAACUUGUCUAAAUUUAUUAAGUGCAUUAAAUAAAUUCAUUAACCUUCUCUUCAGUUUUCCAUUCCCUUUCUCUAUUAUAUCCAUUCACGUGCACUCAAUACUUUCCAAUUUCAAUUUCUAUGUAUCCAUUUGCAUGCUAGAGUUAAGGAUGAUGGUCACUUACAUUCAAUUUUUUUUUUUGGGUAUGGCUGGCCUUUUUUUCACCUAUAAGAGGGUAGAAUAUUUCUUAUUCUGGUCUUUAUUUGCAUUUCAUCUCCUUUUUUUCUCCCCAGAAAUGGAUCUUAGUUGCAAAAUUAAUUCAUGAGAAAUCGAUUUUUCUUUUUCUAAUUUAAUCUUGACUUGCUAUUGAAUGGAUAAUCGGUUAUCAUCACUCCCAAUUAGAUUAGAAAAAAUGACUACAUCUCAAUAUAUCAAUUUACAUCCGAACUGUAAAAAAUAAGACUCGGCAAUAAUCUAUUUCUUAUGUAUGGAUCAUCUUUCUUACCGGUAUCUCGAAAAGCAAAUGAAUUUUUUUUUUUUUGGCAUAAACAUUUUUGUUGAGUGUCUUAAAAAAUUAACUACAUUUAAAAAUGCAGCAAACAUACAAAGAGAUAAGAGGAAUGGUGAGGGAUUUUGAUUUCACGUGAAUUAGCAAAAACGAUUGAGCACUUAUGAGCUGAAACUUUCUUCUAUGCAAUCCAUCUUAAAUGACAAUAUAAUAGCCAACCUGGCAAGGUUUUUUUUUUAAAACUAUUUAUGAAUUUUAUAUUAUGCUUUCCAGAUAGUAGUGUACGUAAUUGAUGAACAAACAAAAGAUCAAACAAAUAUUUAAUAACCGACUUAAUACUACCAUAGAAGUUUCAACACAUAUCACAAAUAUGAUAUAACCAUAUUCUUGCAUGUGGUAGCUUAUUAACUAUAAAUGUAUCUACAACACACGGGUUUGAAAACUAGUCUAAUAUAUAAUAGGGGCUUCUGAACAUUAAAUGCAUUCAAUUUAAUGAGAAACAUUCUUUUCUUAUCCAAAUUGAAGUUUUAGAUUUUCUUUUUUUCACUUGAAAUAGAAUUAGUCGCAGAAAAGAGUGGGAAUAUGCGAAACAAGAUCCAAGAAUAGAAAAAAAAAUGAUUUAAUAACAGUAAAGUUGAGUAUGAUCUGCAUUAUAUAUUAUUUGAUAGAAAAAGUACAUAAUGACUAACAUGCAUCAAUACCAUAACAUAUAGCGAAAAAUUACUUUGGUUUAAUCAGAUACAAAAUUUAGUAAAGUACAAAUAUUAGAGUUGAUUUUGCUUGACUAAAGAAUGAUGAUUGCUUAAAAUGACAAUAUUUGUGCCAAAUUAAAAGGAAAAAUAAUCUACGAUAAUUCAAUUUUAAUAAAAUAUGAUAUAUAAGAUGUUUGAUGACUUAAAGUGUAUUUAUAAUUUGUAUGUAAGACAAAUGAACCUAUCUCAGUCCAUCAUAUAAUAAAAGAUGCAUUUUUUCUGAUUUUUUCUUCAAUUGUUUAGAUUAUGUCACCGUUAUCACUCUAAAAUAUUAAAUUCCCAUAUAAGUUAGAAGUGAAAAAAGUGGACAAGGAAGUAACAUAGAUAUCUUCUAUUUUGAAAUAUAAAACUCGUACAAAACAUAGGGGAGUGCACUAGCUAUAUUAAAUAAGAGUAAUAAUAGUAUACACUAUUGAUGUAAAAAAAUAGUUACACAAGACAUCACAAACUGUGAAGGAGUUCCAUAAUUCAUAUCACUAAAACAAACAAGUAUUGUAUAGUGUUCUGAGGUAUGCUCAGACCAUUAAAAUAGAAGUAAUAAAAUACUGAAUCGCAUCAUGUUGUAUAACGACUCCAAAUUCACAUUAAUGGCUCAAGGGCUAGUAGCAGAGACGGCUGUGUCCUUGGGAAUCGUGGGAACGAAAGGCAAUGUUGGCUUGGGAAAAUUAGGAAGAUGAGGCACUUCGGGCACUACCGGCAAUUCCGGCUUUGGUAUUGUUGGAAUUUCGGGCUUUGGUAGCUCACGAAGCGGUGGCAAUUCGACUUUCGGCAGUGAUGGGAAUUCUGUCUUUGGCAAGCUAGGGAUGUCAGGAAGUUGAGGCAAUUCAGGCUUCGGCAAUUCCGGCACUUCUAACGACUCUGGCUUCGGUGUUGCUGGAAAUUCAGGCUUUGGUAGUUCAGGAAGCGGUGGCAAUUCGACUUUCGGCAAUGAUGGGAAUUCUGGCUUUGGCAAGCUAGGGAUGUCAGGAAGGUGAGGCAAUUCAGGCUUCGGUAGUUCGGGCACUUCGGGCAAGGUCGCCUCCAAAAGUUGGCGGGCUCUGACUGGGUUCUCACCAAUCGUCAAAGACAGAGCGAGGACAAACAAUGCCAAAAGGUGCGUGAGUCCAUGAUGGUUCGUCAUUGGAGAAUCAAUCGACUAGCAAAUUCAAAAGCUUUGAGUGAAGAAGCGGCGAAUCUCGAGUGAGAGAAUCUGCAGGUGUGCUUGAGCAAUGGCUUGAUGGAGGGCUUAUAAGGAGGAGAGACGUGGAGGAUUGGGGAGAAUGCAAGUAUGGUUUGGUGGGAAUAUUAUCAAAGGGUUAGGUCAACUUCUAAACCAAUCUCAUUUUUGUACGUUCAACAGCAAGAUGGAGCAUAUUAUUCCAAAAGGAGCUUGCCAAUUCUUGGCUUUUCAGGCUUCUGACUACCUGUCGAGGCCAGAAAGAGGGAGAAAAAAAGAAAAGAAAUGGUUUAUGAUCUCACUAUGUACAACAGGACCGGAGUCUUGGAGUCUUAAAAUAUUGGAAAAGCUAAUCAUGUAAGAGCAAAAUAAUAAAUAUUGUCCGUGAUAAUUAUUCGUGGAAUCUUUACUUGAUGUAAGGAUUACUCAAGUGUUAAGCAUGUAUGUUUUCGUCUGAGGCCUAGGUUCGAAUCCUCACAAUUGUGCAUUCUUUUGGACGAUCUUUGAGAACAUAGGUAUGUAUGAAUCCGAUUAUUUCUCAUUUGUGUCGGAUAAAACUACUCUUGCCGGAAAAAAAACAAAACUUUAGGUGACAAAUUUUUAGGGACAGACAUAAAAAGAGAUCCUUAAACAGAGUUUCUAGUUAGGGGUGAGUAGUUCUAAGGUUGGUUUAGGUUUCCACUUAACCAGAACUUGGAAUUUACCCUAUUGAGAUCGGUUUCCCAAUUUUUGAAACUUAAAACCUAUCAUGUAUAUCUUAAAAUUUAUGACCUGCUCUAUCAAUCGAAUCUAAAGUCUAUUAGGGAACCGGCCGAUUUCUCUUCUUCUUCUUCUUUUUUUCAUUUUUUCUUCAUUUUUCUUGUUUCAUUUUAGUCAAGCAAUAGAGAGAACAUGACAACAAAAAUCAUCAUUUGUCAAUAACAAUAAUCUAUAAAAUAUUAGCACCUAAAAUAAAAUAAACAAUAAAAUGUUGAAAACGCAUAAUGUAGAAUCCAAAUUUCAUGCUCUCAAAGGAGUCAAAAACCACGAUAAAAACCAAGGAGUCGAAUGAAGGAACUUUCUUUUUAUUUGAGCCUCGUGUAAGUUCAUGCCAUGCUCUAUUUUAGGAGUACCUUGGUUCUUGUUCUAGUUCUCUGAUUUUCAGUCUGAUUCGCUGAUUCUUAGUUCAAUUCUAUUCAAUUCUUAAGAAUCGCAUAAUACAAGUUCCAAAAAAUAUGAAACCGAAAGCUAUGCUUGUUAGAACCUAGAGAUAGGCCGAUUCCCAUGACCUGUUUGAUCUUUCUUGAUUAUACUUGGAAAAUUUGCUCACCCUCAACUUCUUGUUCCGUCCCUACGGAAAUAUUGAACGAGCCAUCGUUAAUGGUAAUAGUGUAAAUGAUUCAGUUUGGUUCGGUUUUUUCGGAAAACCCAACCAAACCGAACCGAUAAAGAAAUUUAUUGAAUCGAACUGAAAUUACAUCCAAAUCGAAACCGAAUCGAAUCGAAAUCUUGAUUCAAUUUAGUUCAAUUUUUACUUUUUUUUUUGUUUUUCUUUUCCCUACCCCUUUUAAUAAAUUUUUUAUAUUUUAGAAAAAUCAAAUUUUUAAUUAUUUUUUUCUUUUUUUCUUCUUUUUUCCUUUUCUUUCUCUUCUUCAUUCGCUAGUCACUAACUGCCACCGUGGCUGGCAAUUAGCCAAUGAAGAAGAAGAAAAAGAAAAAAGAAAAAAAAUAAAAAUAAACAAUUUAAAAAAAUAAAAUGAAAUAUUUUAGAUUUUAUUGGUUUGGUUCAAUUAACCAAACUGAUAAAAACUGAACUAGUUAAAAAAAUUUCGAUUUUUAAUGAAAAUCGAAUAGAUUGAGAAUCAAACCGAAAAAAAAAAAAAAUCGACAUUUUCGGUUUGGUUCGGUUUUUGACACCCAAGUGAAUGGGCUAGGGGAUAAAUCUAACAUGAAAACUUCAAGUGAAAUCCCAACCUGAAAUAAGAGAAGCGAAGCCCGUCGCAAAAAGAGAAGCCCACCUCCCACUUGAUUUUCUCCCGGCCUCUUCCUCUCCCUUUCCACCCUGCAAAAAGCUCAGCUCGAGUUUCUAUCGGUGUCUCCUUCGCACUCCAGCUGCAGCUCGUCGAUCUCGCGGACGAGAGCUUCUUCAGAUCCGGAUUCCCCGUCGGCUUUCUCCUUCACGGUCUCCGCAGGUCACUUUUCCCUCUCUCUCUCUCUCUCUCUCUCGCGCGCGCGCAUUUCUCUGGCCAAUGUGGGGAGACGAUUCGCGAAGCGGUCGACUGGGGCGGAUGUUUGGAUCGUGGGUUGUGGGAGUUACCGGGUCGGGUCCUUCGUUUCCCCUUAUCUUCUCACUUUUGGGGGGCAUAGCUCAUCUGGGUUGCUCUUGCCAACGAACUAACCCGGCGUGGUUGUAGGCGGUGCCGUGUCUUGUGAGUGCUUGCCCACCUUGUGUUCGCCAUAAUGUUUCACUGGAUUUAUGUAGAGGAGGAGGGUUUUCCAGACUCCUAUUUGCUUCUCUAAUUAUACAUUUUCACGCUUAGUAUUAGGUGAAAAUACCAUACUAAGCAUGACAUGAAAUGUUAGAAUAAUUAAUUAACUUAAUUUUUUAGAACAGUAGUUGAUAUUAGUCCCACAUAAUCUCACUGAACGAGAGAGAGAGAGAGUAAAAGCAGAGACGACCCCACACAACAUACCUACUUUGGCUGCCCAUCAUAAAUUAGAACGUUAACUGACAUGUUCUCGGCGGAGGCAUGGUGGCGAUGAGGUACUGAUGCUGAACUCCACUUCAAUGCCAAUGCCAAUCUGGGUUUUUUCUUCUUUUGUUCGUCUGCAUUAGCUCUUUCACAAGUGCUUGGAACUUCAUCAAUAACCAAUGAAACGCUACCACAGAAGUUUCUGACACCAUAUCUCAAAUAUGAUGCGAUCCUCAUCCCUUAUAUGUAGUGGAAUUUUAAGUACAGAUGUAUCUAUAUUAACACAGGUUUGAAAACUAGUCUGAUAUAUUCCGACCAAAAUGAGAAAAAAAAAACUUGUCCGAUAUAUCAUCAGCCUUUUGAACGUUACAUGCAUUCAAUCUAAUGAGAAAGAUUCUUGUCUUUUGCAAAUAGAAUGAUUAGGUAAUUUCAAGAAAAGUAGAGAAUUUAAAGGAAAGUCUUUGAGAAUCUCAAUCUAAUUACCAAUAUUUAGAUGAUAUUGUUUAUGACUUUGUGUAGUAAAGUAGAACAUGUAUAGAGAGAAGUCAAUAUACUUUUUCAAGUUAAAAGAAAUAAAAAUAGUUUAUGAUAUAUUCAACUAUCGUAAAAAUAUGAACUAUAAAUAUAUAUAGUGAAUUUAAAAUUUAAUAUAUGACAAAUGAUCAUACACUAUUCGAUUGUAUAAUAAACAGCACAUUUUACAUUUUUGUUGAUAUUCUUUUUCACAAUUUAAAUUCCAUGACUAUUGUCAUUCUUAUAACUCUAAAACUAUGAAAAGUUUUCAUAUAAGUUGGAUGUGAAAAGAAGUAGACAAGGAGUUUUAGCAAACAUAAAUUUCAAUAUUUUUGAAAGUAUAAAACUCAAGCAACGCAUGGACAAGUGCACUAGGUAUAUAAACAAAUUACAGUAUACUCUCUCCGUGUAAAUGAAGAAGUUACGCAAAGCAUCACUAACUGCCGUAAUAACGAUUUCCGUUAAGUCAUGUCACAAACCGUAAUACAUAUAAGUACACAUGGCAUAUACCAUUCCAAGGCAUGAUUAGACCGUUAAAAUAGAAGUAAUAAGAUACUAAAUCGCAGCAUAUUCUAUCACGACUCCAAAUCCACAUCAUUGCGGUUCAAGACUACGGGUCUGCAUGGUAACCUUCCACAGCCCAAAAAUUUAUAUUCUUCUCUUCCCCAGAACAAAAAAAGAAUAGAAACCCGUUUGAUAACAACAAGUUAAUUUUUUGUUCCCGGGAACAAAAUGUUAGCCCGGGAAUGGUUUUGGAAUAGAAAUGAGAAGUAAAAAAAAAGUUGCUUCUUGUUCCCGGGAACAAGUUUAAGAAAUAAGUGAAUUUUUUUUUUCUUUUAUUCUUCUCUUGCUAACCGCCAUUGACCACCGUUGACCACCACCCGCCGUUGUUCGCCGCUGCCGGCCGACCGCCGCCCGCCGCCGGCCGACCGCCGGCCGACCGCCGACCAACCGCCGGCCGCCUCCGCCGCCGCCGCCGGUCGCCGGAGGCCGAUCGACCGUCGCCGGUCACUACUGGACGCCGCCGCCACCGCCGGCUGCUGCCGGUCGCCGGAGGCCGACCGACCGUCGCCACCGCCGGUCGCCGCCGCCACCGCCGGUCGCCGACCGACCGUCGCCGCUGGUCAACCCCGGACGCCACCGGUCGCCGACCGACCGUCGCCGCCGGCCGACCGUUGCCGCGGCCACCGCCGGUCGCCGGAGGCCGACCGACCGCCGCCGUCGGUCGACCGCGAUCGCCGCCGAACGCCGCCGCCGCCGCACGUCUCCGCCGGCCGAGCGCCGCCGGCCGACCGACGGUCGGCGGCGGCCGAUGGGCCGUGCGGUAGCGAUUGGCGGCGAGAGUCGGCCGGCGGCGCUCGGCCGGCGGCGACGUGCGGCGGCGGCAGCGUCCGGCGGUGGCCAUGGUAUACCGGAAAAAAUAAAACACAAAUAAAUAUAAAAAAUAAACUGUUUUUUACCAAACGCAUUUCUAUUCUUUUUCUAUUUCUAGAGUAAAAAUUUUGUGUAGUUAUCAAACGGGUUUUUUUACCUAGAAAUUGUUCUCCAGAAUAGAAAUAAAAAAGAACUAUUUCUGAAAAAAAAUUGUUCCCCAGCCAAGAAAUGUUCUCAUGCGCACCCAUAGACAUGUCCUUCAGAAAGAAAGGCAACGUUGGCUUGGGGAAAUCGGGGAGAUGAGGCAAUUUGGGCAAUGCUGGCAAUUCCAGCUUGGGUUUUGUUGGUAUUUCAGGCUUUGGCAGUUUUGGAAAUAGCAGUAAUUCGACUAUUGGCGGUGAUGGCAAUUUCGGUUUUGGCAGGUUUGGGAUGUCGGGAAGGUGAGGCAAUUCGGACUUCAGAAGUUCAGGUACCUUAGGCAACACUGCCUCCAAAAUUCGGCGAGCUUCAACGGAGUUCUCGCCAAUCGUCAAUGACAAAGCAAGGACAAAUAAUGCCAAAAGAUGCGAGAGCCCACAGUAGUUCGCCAUCAUAGAACCAAUAUACUAGCAAAUUGAAAAACUUGUGAAGAAGUGGUUGAUCAAGUGUAAAGGUGCAGGUGUGUUCGAGCAAUGGCUUGAUGGAGGGUUUUUAAAGAGGAGGGACGUGGGGAUUGGGGAGAUUGCAAGUAUGUUUUGGAGGGAAAAUUAUUGAAGUGUUCGUUGAACUUCCAAACCAAUCUCAAUCUCUUUUAUUCAACAACAAGAUGGAGCAGAUAAUUCCAAAAAGGAUCUUUAUAUUCUUGGCUUUUUUAAGCUUGUAAGUGCGAGUUGUUUUGGACUUCCUAGCUAGGCGGGAAAGACAAAAGAAAGGAAAUGAUUUAUGAUCUCACUCUAUGUACAAGAGGACGAAGUCCAUAGCUUUGCUCAGAGAAGUCAACAAUGUUAACAGUAAAAUCUAAGUUUUGCCAGUGAUAAUUAUACAUGAAAAAUAUUCUUGAUGCAAGGAUUGCUCGAGUGGUAGGAAUAUUACUUCUCUUUCUCUGAUAAUUUCAUAAACUUGUGUAUCUGGUAAUUUCUUGAUAUGCGUGGGACAAGGCAGCAACCACUUAACACCAUUUUGGGCCUCAAUAGAGAAGCUUAUGGUCAAGUUGAGGGUAAGGCCACCAACUUUGGAGGGAGUUGGUGGCGUACAAGCCGACUUCGGAGGAGAUGUUAAUUGCUUCUUGAGAAAGUGAGGGUUUAAGAUCCACGAAAUUGCGAAGUUAAGAAGGAGAAGACUAAGCGGUACGGGAAAUUGAAGAACUGCCAACCUCCGAUGAAACUAAAGAUUGAAUGAAACAAUUCAAUUGGGUAAUUGAAGGACUCUCAGUAGAGAGCACCAAGGACAUCAAUCAAUUGGAUGGGGGAGAAUAUCACGGACCGGAGGUUCUCAGGUGCGAUAGGCUGAGGAGGUGGCAAUGUGACCGGGCGUGCCUUAGAUUUAGAGAAGCCCCGUCAUUAAUGGAGGUAUGUGGUAAAUGAAGAGAUAUAUAAAUUUUUUGUAUAUCUCCACUUUUUUCAUCCUAGGAAGAAUAGGUAUUCAUUACUAUGGUCUUUAUGUGUAUUUAAUUCUCUCUUUUCCUCUUCCCCUCAAAAAGAGCGGUCCAAGGGUCACAAUCAAUUCGGGAGAAAUUAGUUUUUCUUUUCUUUAUUUGAUCUUGACUUGCAGUUGGAUGAAUAUUUGGUUAUUAUCCUUCUAAAUAAUAUGCUGAAUAUUACUACAUCUCAAUAAAUAUACACGCUGAUUCACAAUGAAAAAAAAAAAAGAAUUGGUGAGAAUCUAUUCCUUAUUUAUGGAUCAUCCUUCUUAUCAGUAUCUAGGAAAGCAAUUGAUUUUUUUUUUUGACAGAUACUUUUUUUAUUAAUUCAAAUUCAAAUUUGUUAAGUGACAAGUUAACUAUACUUCAAAAUUUGGCAGAAAUACAUCGAGACAAAUAAAAAAUUGGUGAGGGAUUCUUUAUUUAUAAGAAGUAGCAAAACUGAUUUAGAGCUUAUGUCCUGAAAUUAUCUUUUGUGAUCUGUCUCAUCUUAUAACAUAAUGGUCAAGCUCGCAAGGUUUUUCACCGUUGGGGUAUUUGUGUCACCGUAGGCUUAUACAAGAUUUUUUAUAAUAUUAAUCUUAUGGAAAAAUAUAUAUAUAUAUAUAUAUAUAUAUAUAUGUAUCUAUUUUUUUACAAUAAGGAAAGAAAUCGACUUUUUUGCUUGAAAUAGAAAGUGUAACAAAAUAGACUGAUGAUAUACGAAAAUGUCAAUAUUAUGAAAAACUCUAAACUGAUACAUUUGUGACAAAUUUAUUUCUAUCUAAUUAUUUGACUACAAAAAACUCCAAACCGGUACACUUGUGACAAAUUUACCUAAAAUUAUUAUUUUAUUUUUUGUAAAGGGUAAGAAACCUAAAAUUAAUUUUUUGACCAUGAAAACAUUUAAAUUGGUACACCUAAAAUAAAUUUACCAAAAACUAAUUUGUUUGACCACCAAAAACCUCAAAGUGAUAUACCCCUAACAAAUUUACCCAAACUAAUUUUUUGACCACUAAAAAACCCCAAAGUGGUAUAUUUAGACAAAUUUCUUCUAUGUUAGCUUCUGUUAAACUGGAUUAACACCAUGAAAAACCGCAAACUAAAACAAACAGGGGGUAAAAUCCCAAACUAAUAUUUCUUUUCAAAUGUCACUUAUCAUCUAACUUAGUACUUUAACAGUAAAAUUUAAAAUAAAAUAAUGGAGGGUAAAUUUGUUAUAAGUAUAUUAGUUAUGGUUUUAGUUUGGGAUAAAUUUAUUACAUGUGUACUAGUUUGGGGUUUUUGGUGAUCAAAAAUUUAAUUAAGGAUAAAUUUAUCAUAAGUGUAUCAGUUUAGUGUUUUUAAUGUACCAGUUUGGAGUUUCUAUUUUUGAGAAUAGGAAAAUAGCAACAAAAAAAAAAGAUCUAUCAAUAAAAUUGACUAUAUCAUAUACAAUAUAUUAUGUGAUAGGGAACAUGUACAUAUUAAUUAACACCUGUCAAUCUUUAAUAUAUAGCGUAUAAUUACUUUGGUUCAAUCCAAUAUGAAUUGCAGUGAAUAUUUUUUUUUUUUUACUUAAUUAAAGAAUGAUGAUUGGUUGGAAAAUGACAAAAUAGUUGUGUCAAUUUUAGGAAAUAUAUAUAUAACCCAUGAUGAAUUCAUUUUAAGUAUACAUAUAAGACAAACAAACCUCUAUUGUCAUGAAGGGUUGAUACCUUGAAAAAUCUCAAACUAGUACACAUGUGAUAAAUUUAUCUUAAACUAAUUUUUUGACCAUGAAAAACCUCAAAUUGGUACACUCGUGAUAAAUUUACCUCGACUAAUCAUAAAAAAAAAUCUCAAACUAGUACAUUUGUGACAAAUUUAUCCCAAACUAAUUUAUUUGAUCGCCAAAAAACCCAAAUCGGUACAUUUUUGACAAAUAUACCCUCCAUUAAAUUAGAUUAAUAUCACAAAAAAUCACAAAAAUUGUAUUACGGUAACAAAUGGAGAAUAAAAUAUCAAAUUGGUACAUCAGUAAAUUGCCGCAUGUCAUUCAAUUUAGUAAUUUGAUAGUAAAAUUUAACGGAAACAAAUAGACAAUAAAUUUAUUACAAAAAAUUAGUUUUGGGUAAAUUUGUCAAGAGUGUAUCAGUUUGGGAUUUUUCAGGAUAUUAACCCAAUAAUGAAUGACGCAUUUUAUUUUUCUUGAUUUUUUCUUUGAUUAUUUGAAUUUCAUAAGUAUUGUCAUUACUAGAACUCAUAUAAAUUACAUUUUCAUAUUAGUUAUAUGUGAAACAAGAUAAGGAGUUUCAGCAAACAUGAGUUUCAACAAAUUUAGAAAUAUAGAACUCAUGUGAAGCAUGCUCGAGUGCACUAGGUAUUUAAGAAAGAGUAAUUAUAGCAACUCCGUCGGAUGUAAUAGUUUAGUUACUCAAGAUAUCACAAAUUGUCCCACAAAUAAGUUUCAUAAUUGUCCCACAAAUAUGUUCCAUAAUUCAUAUAACACUAUCAUACAAAAUAUACUGUUCCGAGGCAUGCUCAGACCAUCAAAGUAGACGUAAUAAAAUAUUAAAUCACAGCAUGUUGCAUCACGACUCCAAAUUCACAUCACAACGGUUCAAGGAUUAGUAGCAGCCGCAGGCAUGUCCUUCGCAACGAAAGGCAAAGUUGGCUUAGGGAAAUCGGGGAGAUGAGGCAAUUCGGGCACUUCCGGCAAUUCCGGCUUCGGUAUUGUUGGUAAUUCAGGCUUUGGCAGUUCCGGAAGUGGCGGCAAUUCAACUUUUGGCAGUGAUGGCAAUUCUGGCUUUGGCAGGCUUGGGAUGUCGGGAAGGUGUGGCAAUCCGGGCUUCGGCAGUUCGGGCACCUCGGGCAACGUCUCCUCCAAAAUUCGGCUAGCUCCAACCGAGUUCUCGCCGGUCAUCAAGGACAAAGCAAAGACAAACAAUGCCAAAAGAUGCACAAGUCCGCGAUAGUUCGCCAUCGCAGGACCGAUCGACAAGCAAAUUUAAAAACUUCAAGUGAAGAAUCGAUGGAUCUCAAAUGAGGAGGUGCAGGUGUGCUUGAGCAAUGGCUUGAUGGAGGGUUUAUAAAGAGGAGGGACGUGGGGAUUAGGGAGAUUACAAGUAUGGUUUGGUGGGACUUUGUCGAAGUGUUAGUUCAACUUCUAGACCAAUCUCAUUUUCGUAUGUUCAACAACAACAUGGAGCAGAUAAUUCCAGAAAGGACCUUGCCAAUUAUUGGCUUUCAACGCUUGUAACCAUCAGUCGUGCUGGUAUUAUAGCUUUUGUUUUGGUUUUCCUAUAAAUCGUUAAUUGGUAACCGUACUACAAUCAUGAACUACGAUCAUUGUAAAUGAUAUCCUAAAAAUGACCAUCCCGAUACACGCACAUAUAUAUAGCUGAUUUACAUAUGAAAUUAAAAACUGAGACUAGGUAAAACUAUCUAACGUCUUGAAAUAUCUUUUCCGCAAUUCAUCUCAUGUGAUGGAAUGAUAGCCAAGCUUGCAAGGUUUUUCAAUUAUUUGAUAAAUUUAAGACUAUGUUCUUUGACUAGUAGUACACGUGAUUGAUGAACGAAUAAAAGAUCAUCAAAUAUUUGAUAACCAACGCAAUACUACCAUAGAAGUCUCAAAACAUAUCUCAAAUAUGAUGUAAUCGUAUGCUUUUAUGGAGCAGAAUAUAAAGUAUAUAUGUAUCUAUUACGGACCAGUUUGAAAUUGGUCUACUAUAUUAUAAUGACAUUCGAAAAUUAAAUGAAAAACUACUUUUCUUACCGAAAUUGAAUCUUGAGAAUUUUUCAAGGAAACUAAAAAUAUAAAGAAAAUACUCAAAAAAUUCUUAACCGGAAUACAUAUGUGAAAAGUAAGUCCAUUCAAUUUAACGAGAAAGACUCUUUUCUUUUCCAAAUAGAUUGAUAAGACUUUUUGCGGAAAAUAACAAUUUAAAGGAAAGUAUCUUAAGUCUCAAUCUAAAUAUAUUUAGGUGAUACUGUGUAGUAUUACAUAUAGAAAGAAGUCUUUUUAUUUUUUUCAAGGAAAUUUUGAGAGAGAAGAUUAUUAAAGAUUAACAUGUAUAUCAAAUAUUAUAUAAUGUAAUAAGUAUUGAAAUUAACUUCAUGGGAAUGAGAAAAUGUUUUGAUUAUUAAUUUAAGUAAAAUUGACUCUAUGAGACUCGAUAUGUGAUGUGGUAUAAAAAAGAAAAAAAAUGUAAAUAUAUCUAUAUUUGAGAGAGAGAGAGAGAGAGAGAUAAACUUUUCACUCGAAUUAGAAGUUGGAGCUAAAUAGAUUGACAUUAGGCGAAACAAUAUAUCAAGAAUAGAAAAAAAAAAUGAUCUAUAACGGCAAAGUUGUCUAUACAAUACAAUGUAUGCCAUGUUAUAGAAAACAUCGAUAAUAUUUAACAUAUAUCGAUACUAUAACAUAGAGCUUAAAAUUACUUCAAUUCAAUUCAAUACAAAAUGAAAUAAAAACAAACAUCAGAGUUGAUAUUACUUAAUUGAAGAAUGAUGAUUGCUUGAAACAUGAAAAAAUAGUUGUGUCAAAUUAAAAGGGAAAAUACUCUAUGAUAAAUUCAAGGGAAAAUUCCAAAAAGGUACCCGAAAUACCCUAUUUUUUUCAAAUAAGAGCCUAAAGUGAAUCUUAUUUCAAAUAAGGACUGAAGUGCAUUUGUUUUCUCAAAUAAGGGUUUAAAGUGGAUGUUAUUUCAAAUGAGGACCUAAAGUAAUUAUGUUUAUUUCAAAUAAGAGCAUGAAGUGGCUAUAUCCGUUUGAAAUAAGAACCCGUCUUUCUAGCGAUCAAUGGUAUUUUCGUCAUUUGUCAUUUGUCCAUUUUUUUUUUUUUUUUUUCCAUUUUUUUGACUAGCUCUUGUUCCUCUUCGCCAAUGGCCAGCCGGCCAUUGGCAAUGCCCACAAAGGGCUGAGCAAGAGAGUGAGGGUCACCACACUCAAGCAAGGCUGUCCGUCACUUGUGGGCAGGGUGGGUGGCCCUUGCUGGUGGGGGCGACCCUCGCUUAGCCCUUUGUGGGCAUCACUGGCAAAAAGGAAGAAGAAUAACCAAAAGAAAAAAAGGAAAGAAAAAAAAAGUGAAAUGCAAAAUGACAAAAAUACCCUUGGCUGGUUGGAAAAUUUAGCCACUCAGCGAUCGGCGAGAUCAGGUCUUUAUUUGAAACAACCAAAGCCACUUCAGGCCCUUAUUUGAAACAACUAAGGCUACUUUAGGUUCUUAUUUGAAACAAAAUCCAUUCCGGGCCCUCAUUUGAGAAAACAAUAACACUUCGGGUCUUUUUUUGAAAUUUUCCCUAAAUUCAAUUGAAGUAAAUAAGAUGUUCAAUAAGUGGAUUUAUAAUUUAUAUGUAAGAUAAAUGAACCUAUAUCACUCGAUCCUAUAACAAACAUGUAAUUUUGCUUAUUUUUCCUUCAAAUAUUUAAAUUCUAUGAUAAGUUAAAUGUGUAUAAAGUAGAUAAUGAGUUUUAAUAAAUAUAAAUUUGAUAUAUUUUGAAAUAUAAAACACAUGAAGCAUCAGAAAGUGUACUAGUUGUUUAAGAAAGAGUAACUAUAGCAUACUCCGUCGGUGUAAAAGAAGAGUUACACAAGAUAUCAUAAACUAUCAUACGAAUAAGUUCCAUAAUUCAUAUCACAAACUGUCAUACAAACGACUAUAUAUGGCAUAUAACAUUCUGAGGUGAACACUGACCAUUACAAUAGAAGUAAUAGAAUACUAAUUCAUAUCAUAUCGAAUCCCGACUACAAGUUCACAUCACAACGGUUCAAGGACUAGUAGCAGCGAUAGACGUGUCCUUCGAAACGGCAGGCAAUGUUGGCUUAGGGAAAUCGGGAAGGUGAGGCAAUUCAGGCACUUCUGGCUUUGGUAAAGUUGGAAAUUCAAGCUUUGGAAGUUUGGGCACUUCCGGCAAUUCUGGCUUCGGUAUUGUUGGAAAUUCAGGCUUUGGCAGCUCGGGAAGUGGCGGCAAUUCGACUUUUGGCAGAGAUGGCAGUUCUGGUUUUGGCAGGCUUGGGAUAUCGGGAAGCUGAGGCAAUUCUGGCUUCGGCAGUUCAGGCACUUCAGGCAACGUCGCGUCCAAAAGUUGGCGAGCUCCAACGCGGUUCUGGCCGAUUGUCAAAGACAGAGCAAGGACAAACAAUGACAAAAGAUUAGUGAGUCUGCAAUAGUUCGCCAUCGUGGAAUUGAGCGACUAGCAAACCGAAAAACUUUGAGUGAAGAAGCGGUGUGUUUGAGCAAUGGCUUGAUGGAGGGUUUUUAAAGAGGAGGGACGUGGGGAUUGGGGAGAUUACAAGUAUGUUUUGGUGGGAAAAAUAAUCUAAGUGUUGGUUCAACUUCUAAACCAAUCUCAUUUUCUUUUGUUCAACAACAAGAUGGAGAAGACUCCAAAAAGUUAUCUUGCCACUUCUGGGCUUUCUAAGUCUGUAACUAUCAGCUGUGCUAGAUUUCUCAGCUACGCGGGAAAAAGAAACGAAAGGAGAUGGUUCAUGAUUUCACUCUAUGUACAAUAGUAGGACGAAGUCCGGAGUUUUGGUUGAAGAAGUCAAUAAUUUAAGGAUAAAAAUCUAAGUUUUGUUAGCGAUCAUUGUACAUGAAAUGCAUACUCAUCUAAAACUUGUCUAAAUUUAUUAAGUGCAUUUAAUAAAUUCAUUAACCUUCUCUUAAGUUUUCCGUUCCCUUUCUCUAUUAUAUCCAUUCACGUGCACUCAAUACUUUUCAAUUUCAAUUUUUAUGUAUCCAUUUGCAUGCUAGAGUUAAGGACGAUGGUCACUUACAUUCAAUUUGUUUGUUUUUUUUUUUUUUUGGGGGUAUGCCUGGCCUUUUUUUCACCUAUAAGAGGGUAGAAUAUUUGUUAUUCUGGUCUUUAUGUGCAUUUCAUCUCCUUUUUUUCUCCUCAGAAAUGGGUCUUAGUUGCAAAAUUAAUUCAUCAGAAAUCGAUUUUUCUUUUUCCAAUUUGAUCUUGACUUGCUAUUGAAUGGAUAAUCGGUUAUCAUCACUCCCAAUUAGAUUAGAAAUAUGACUACAUCUCAAUAUAUCAAUUUACAUCCGAACUGUAAAAAAUGAGACUCGGCAAUAAUCUAUUUCUUAUGUAUGGAUCAUCUUUCUUACCGGUAUCUCGAAAAGCAAAUGAUUUUUUUUUUUGGCAUAAACAUUUUUGUUGAGUGUCUUAAAAAAUUAACUACAUUUAAAAAUGCAAAAAUACAAAGAGAUAAGAGGAAUGGUGAGGGAUUUUGAUUUCACAUGAAUUAGCAAAAACGAUUGAGAAUUUAUGAGCUGAAACUUAUUGAGAACUUAUGGGCUAAAACUUUCUUCUAUGCAAUCCAUCUUAAAUGACAAUAUAAUAGCCAACCUGGCAAGGCUUUUUUUUCUUUUUUAAACUAUUUAUGAAUUUUAUAUUAUGCUUUCCAGAUAGUAGUGUACGUAAUUGAUGAACAAACAAAAGAUCAAAAAAAUAUUUAAUAACCGACUUAAUACUACCAUAGAAGUUUCAACACAUAUCACAAAUAUGAUAUAACCAUAUUCUUGCAUGUGGUAGCUUAUUAACUAUAAAUGUAUCUAUAACACACGGGUUUGAAAACUAGUCUAAUAUAUAAUAGGGGCUUCUGAACAUUAAAUGCAUUCAAUUUAAUGAGAAACAUUCUUUUCUUAUCCAAAAUGAAGUUUUAGAUUUUUUUUUUCCCUUGACAUAGAAUUAGUCGCAGAAAAGAGUGGGAAUAUGCGAAACAAGAUCCAAGAAUAGAAAAAAAAAUGAUUUAAUAACAGUAAAGUUGACUAUGAUCUGCAUAAUAUAUUAUUUGAUAGAAAAAGUACAUAAUGACUAACAUGCAUCAACACCAUAACAUAUAGCGAAAUAUUACUUUGGUUUAAUCAGAUACAAAAUUUAGUAAAGUACAAAUAUUAGAGUUGAUUUUGCUUGACCAAAGAAUGACGAUUGCUUAAAAAUGACAAUAUUUGUGCCAAAUUAAAAGGAAAAAUAAUCUACGGUAGUUCAAUUUUAAUAAAGUAUGAUAUAUAAGAUGUUUGAUGACUUAAAGUGUAUUUAUAAUUUGUAUGUAAGACAAGUGUACCUAUCUCAAUCCAUCAUACAAUAAAAGACGCAUUUUUCUGAUUUUUUCUUCAAUUGUUUAGAUUAUGUCACCGUUAUCACUCUAAAAUUUUAAAUUCCCAUAUUAGUUAGAAGUGAAAAAAGUGGACAAGGAAGUAACAUAGAUUUCUUCUAUUUUGAAAUAUUAAACUCGUACAGAACAUAAGGGAGUGCACUAGCUAUAUUAAAAAGAGUAAUAAUAGUAUACACUAUCGAUGUAAAAAGAUAGUUACACAAAACAUCACAAACUGUGAAGGAGUUCCAUAAUUCAUAUCACUAAAACAAGUAUUGUAUAGUGUUCUGAGGUAUGCUCAGACCAUUAAAAUAGAAGUAAUAAAAAACUGAAUCGCAUCAUGUUGUAUAACGACUCCAAAUUCACAUUAAUGGCUCAAGGGCUAGUAGCAGCGACGGCUGUGUCCUUGGGAAUCGUGGGAACGAAAGGCAAUGUUGGCUUGGGAAAAUCAGGAAGAUGAGUCACUUCGGGCACUACCGGCAAUUCCGGCUUUGGUAUUGUUGGAAAUUCGGGCUUUGGUAGCUCAGGAAGCGGCGGCAAUUCGACUUUCGGCAGUGACGGGAAUUCUGUCUUUGGCAAGCUAGGGAUGUCAGGAAGUUGAGGUAAUUCGGGCUUCGGCAAUUCCGGCACUUCUAAGGACUCCGGCUUCGGUGUUGCUGGAAAUUCAGGCUUUGGUAGUUCAGGAAGCGGUGGCAAUUCGACUUUCGGCAAUGAUGGGAAUUCUGGCUUUGGCAAGCUAGGGAUGUCAGGAAGGUGAGGCAAUUCAGGCUUCGGUAGUUCGGGCACUUCGGGCAAGGUCGCCUCCAAAAGUCGGCGGGCUCCAACUGGCUUCUCACCAAUCAUCAAAGACAGAGCGAGGACAAACAAUGCCAAAAGGUGCGCGAGUCCAUGAUGGUUCGUCAUUGGAGAAUCAAUCGACUAGCAAAUUCAAAAGCUUUGAGUGAAGAAGCGGCGAAUCUCGAGUGAGAGAAGGUGCAGGUGUGCUUGAGCAAUGGCUUGAUGGAGGGCUUAUAAGGAGGAGGGACGUGGAGGAUUGGGGAGAAUGCAAGUAUGGUUUGGUGGG
This 22607-nucleotide long non-coding RNA is filed under the name Eucalyptus grandis. RNAcentral's name for it is "long non-coding RNA (EGRA_LNC004134)". Lineage: Eukaryota; Viridiplantae; Streptophyta; Magnoliopsida; Myrtales; Myrtaceae. The record is from RNAcentral.